CAACGCUGGCGGCGUGCCUAACACAUGCAAGUCGCACGAGAAAGGGGACUUCGGUCCCUGAGUACAGUGGCGCACGGGUGAGUAACACGUGAAUAAUCUACCUCCGAGUGGGGAAUAACUGAGAGAAAUCUUAGCUAAUACCGCAUAACACUUACGAGUCAAAGCAGCAAUGCGCUUGGAGAGGAGUUCGCGGCAGAUUAGUUAGUUGGCGGGGUAAUGGCCCACCAAGACGAUGAUCUGUAUCCGGCCUGAGAGGGCGCACGGACACACUGGAACUGAAACACGGUCCAGACUCCUACGGGAGGCAGCAGUGGGGAAUUUUGCGCAAUGGGGGAAACCCUGACGCAGCAACGCCGCGUGGAGGAUGAAAUCCCUUGGGAUGUNAACUCCUUUCGAUCGGGAAGAUAAUGACGGUACCGAGAGAAGAAGCCCCGGCUAACUUCGUGCCAGCAGCCGCGGU
This 460-nucleotide ribosomal RNA is filed under the name uncultured Acidobacteriota bacterium. RNAcentral describes it as "bacterial SSU rRNA". It matches the Rfam family "Bacterial small subunit ribosomal RNA", at positions 32 to 521 of the family's 1533-position model. Lineage: Bacteria; Pseudomonadati; Acidobacteriota. The record is from RNAcentral.